Molecule: non-coding RNA, 79 nt
Organism: Podarcis lilfordi (Lilford's wall lizard)
Lineage: Eukaryota; Metazoa; Chordata; Lepidosauria; Squamata; Lacertidae
Source: the annotation of a GenBank genome assembly
GACGUAGCUCAGUGGAAGAGCAUCUGCCAUGCAUGCAGAAAGCCCCAGGUUAAAUCGCCAGGUAAGCCUGGGAAGGACA